This 150-nucleotide unclassified non-coding RNA is filed under the name uncultured Venturiaceae. RNAcentral describes it as "sequence contains ITS2". The record is from RNAcentral. Lineage: Eukaryota; Fungi; Ascomycota; Dothideomycetes; Venturiales; Venturiaceae.
CGACCCUCAAGCAUAGCUUGGUGUUGGGCACGGUCCUGCGGGACCCGCCCGCAACUUGUAGGCGGCUGCCGCCCGCGCCCCCAGCGUAGCAAGCUCACGCGUUCGCUCGGGGACGGCGCGUCUGGCCCGCCCAGACAAACCCUUCCAGGU